GCCAGGCCUGGAGUGUGUUGUCACUCUGUCCCGCCUCGAGAUCACAAGCCUAUGGUGUCAUGGAAAGAGAUCUGGGCUCCGGAGGCCAAAGAGCCCGGGGCCUGGUCCUCCUCUGCCACAGAUAAUGCUGUGCGACCUUGGCAGUUCCCCCCACCUCUCUGGGCCGUGGGGAGUUUCCUGUGGGUCAUAACGUGCACCAUGGACCUGGCACAUGGUAAAAGGAGACUGCGCACCCAUUUCCACAAUACCAAGGAGGACAGAACAUUUUUGGGAGUCCUCUCUGUGAACAGUGAAAACACCACAUAAGGAAAUUGCCCUUCGGACCAGCCCAACGCCUCAGUUCCUUGGUUAAAUGAAGCAGAAAACAAACAAAUAAAUAAUGUCACUUAUUCUCUAGUCAGAAUCAACAUCUACCAGACUUGGCUCUGAACCACUUGGGGCUUUUUCCAAACUUCAGUUCCAACCCUGAGAAUCUGCUACCAUGGAGGGCAGCAAAACAACACUCCAAGGCUUGGACAGCAGGUGAAAGAGGAGUGCUCCAAACCACGUUCUGAACUGGGCAGCACCUCUGGAGUAAGAAUGUAGCCUCCCCAGGGGAAUACUGAGAAUUGGACACACUGAAAAUAUCAAUAAUUCAUCUGGAUGGAUAAUGUACUUGGCACAAAGUUCAAGGGGUUCCAUUCUGUGAGUUGCCUUUUCACUCUGUUGAUGAUGCACAAAAAGUUUCCAUCCUGAUGAGUCCAGUUAAUCUAUUUUUUUCUUUCAUGGCCUGUACUUUGGGGUCAUAUCCAAGAAAUCACUGCCAAACUCGAUGCCACAAAUUCUACCCCCUAUGUUUUCUUCUAAAAGUUUUACAGUUUCAUGUCCUUAAUCCAUUUUGAGUUCAUGUUUGUAUAUGGUGUAAAGUAAGGGUCCAGCGUCAUUCUUUUAUGUGGGAAUAUCUAGUUUUCCCAGCACCAUUUGUUGAAGACUGUCCUUUCCCCAGUGCAUGGUCUUGGCACCCUUGCUGAAAAACAUUUAGUGGUAUGGGCAAGGAUUUAUUUCUGGGCUCCCUGUUGUAUUGCGUGGGCCUGUAUAUCUGUCCUUACAACAGUACCACGCUGUUUUGAUUACUGUAGCUUUGUAAUCAUUUUGAAAUCAGGAAGUGUGAAGCCUUCAACUUUGUUCUUUUUAAUAUGUUUGGCUAUUUAGAGUGCCUUGAGAUUCCAUGUGAAUUUUAGGAUGGAUUUUUCCCAUUUCUUCAAAAAAAUAUCUGUGGGAUUUUGAUAGAUACCCCACUGUACGUCACUUUGGGCAGUAUUGACAACUUAACAACAUUAAGUCUUACAGUCAAUGAAUAUGGGAUGUCUUUCCAUUUAUUUGUGUCUUCUUUAAUUUAUUUUAGCAAUGUUUUCUAGUUUUCAUAAGCCAGUCUUAUGCCUCAUUGGUUAUGUUUAUUCCUAAGUAUUUUAUUGGUUUGAUGCUAUUGUAAAUGAAAUUGAUCAUGUGGGGUUUUCCCUUCAUUCUGUACAUGUGGUAUAUUAAACUGAUUGAUUUUCAUAUCUUGAA
Canis lupus familiaris (dog) is the source of this 1548-nucleotide long non-coding RNA. RefSeq lists it as uncharacterized. NCBI's taxonomy places the organism in Eukaryota, Metazoa, Chordata, Mammalia, Carnivora, Canidae. The record is from RefSeq and is a predicted model, not a curated record. The transcript is spliced from 2 exons.